UGGGGAAUUUUGGACAAUGGGCGAAAGCCUGAUCCAGCAAUGCCGCGUGUGUGAAGAAGGCCUUCGGGUUGUAAAGCACUUUUGUCCGGAAAGAAAUGGCUCUGGUUAAUACCUGGGGUCGAUGACGGUACCGGAAGAAUAAGGACCAGCUAACUACGUGCCAGCAGCCGCGGUAAUACGUAGGGUCCAAGCGUUAAUCGGAAUUACUGGGCGUAAAGCGUGCGCAGGCGGUUGUGCAAGACCGAUGUGAAAUCCCCGAGCUUAACUUGGGAAUUGCAUUGGUGACUGCACGGCUAGAGUGUGUCAGAGGGGGGUAGAAUUCCACGUGUAGCAGUGAAAUGCGUAGAGAUGUGGAGGAAUACCGAUGGCGAAGGCAGCCCCUGGGAUAACACUGACGCUCAUGCACGAAAGCGUGGGGAGCAAACAGGAUUAGAUACCCUGGUAGUCCACGCCCUAAACGAUGU
Molecule: ribosomal RNA, 464 nt
Filed under: uncultured bacterium
Lineage: Bacteria
Description: partial 16S ribosomal RNA
Rfam family: Bacterial small subunit ribosomal RNA
Source: RNAcentral